RNAcentral lists this ribosomal RNA (773 nucleotides) under uncultured Neocallimastigales. RNAcentral describes it as "partial large subunit ribosomal RNA". It matches the Rfam family "Eukaryotic large subunit ribosomal RNA", at positions 23 to 645 of the family's 3401-position model. Lineage: Eukaryota; Fungi; Neocallimastigomycota; Neocallimastigomycetes; Neocallimastigales. The record is from RNAcentral.
AGAGAGAGACAUGCGCGCAUAUCAAUAAGCGGAGGAAAAGAAACUAACAAGGAUUCCCUCAGUAACGGCGAGUGAAGCGGGAAGAGCUCAAAUUUGAAAUCUUCAAGGUUCUACCUUGACGAAUUGUAGUUUAAAGAAGUGUUUUCUGUUGGAGUUUUGGUAAAAGUUCUUUGGAAUAGGACAUCAUAGAGGGUGAGAAUCCCGUAUUUGACCAUUAUUUCCAGCUUUGUGAUACACUUUCAAAGAGUCGGAUUGUUUGGGAAUGCAGUCCAAAAUGGGUGGUAAAUUUCAUCUAAAGCUAAAUAUUGGCGAGAGACCGAUAGCGAACAAGUACCGUGAGGGAAAGAUGAAAAGAACUUUGAAAAGAGAGUUAAACAGUACGUGAAAUUGUCAAAAGGGAAGCGUUUGACACCAGUGUUGUUUUUCUGAAAAUCAAUUAAAGAACUGUUUAUGCUAAGUUGUUUAGACUUUAUCAGCUAACUGUUUAGUUUUGAGCUUUUCUUUAAUGCACUUUUCAGUUAACAAGUCAACAUCAAUUUCUUUUGCUGUAAAAAAGCUUGAGGAAGGUGGCUUGAGAUUCGUCUUAAGUGUUUAUAGCCUCUUGCCUAUGCAGUCGGAGAGAUUGAGGUCUGCAGCGUAGAUCCUUCGGGGCUAAAUGCAUUUGUGCUAAGUUAUAGCAUUUUAUAGACAACUUGUUGACUAUGAUUUGUCUUGUAGCUUACUCGCUUAUGUUAUUUUACCUACGCUUAGGAUGUUGAUGUGAUACUGCGAGC